This 242-nucleotide ribosomal RNA is filed under the name uncultured bacterium. RNAcentral's name for it is "partial 16S ribosomal RNA". It matches the Rfam family "Bacterial small subunit ribosomal RNA", at positions 529 to 771 of the family's 1533-position model. The record is from RNAcentral.
AGGGAGCAAGCGUUGUCCGGAAUUACUGGGUGUAAAGGGAGCGUAGGCGGGAGGAUAAGUUGAAUGUGAAUUCUGUGGGCUCAACCCACAGCUGCGUUCAAAACUGUUCUUCUUGAGUGAAGUAGAGGCAGGCGGAAUUCCUAGUGUAGCGGUGAAAUGCGUAGAUAUUAGGAGGAACACCAGUGGCGAAGGCGGCCUGCUGGGCUUUUACUGACGCUGAGGCUCGAAAGCGUGGGUAGCAA